Molecule: ribosomal RNA, 232 nt
Filed under: uncultured bacterium
Lineage: Bacteria
Description: partial 16S ribosomal RNA
Rfam family: Bacterial small subunit ribosomal RNA
Source: RNAcentral
AUAGGCCUACGGGGGGCAGCAGUGGGGGAUAUUGCACAAUGGGGGGAACCCUGAUGCAGCGACGCCGCGUGGGUGAAGAAGCGCCUCGGCGCGUAAAGCCCUGUCAGCAGGGCAGAAAAUGACGGUACCUGAAGAAGAAGCCCCGGCUAACUACGUGCCAGCAGCCGCGGCAAUACGUAGGGGGCAAGCGUUAUCCGGAUUUACUGGGUGUAAAGGGGGCGCAGACGGCGAU